Molecule: unclassified non-coding RNA, 548 nt
Filed under: Hevea brasiliensis (rubber tree)
Lineage: Eukaryota; Viridiplantae; Streptophyta; Magnoliopsida; Malpighiales; Euphorbiaceae
Source: RNAcentral
UCCAUUUGCAAAUGGAAUAAAUAUAUAUGCCUGCGUAACUAGCCUGAUUCACCUCUACAUUUCCCUAAAUUUCUGUUUAAUCCUCUAUCUAAACAAAAAAUUGGGCGUGUAUUUUUUGUAUCACAUGAGAAAACUCAAGAAUUCCCUGAUGGCAACUUCUACAGUCCCUUGUUUGGUCAAAAGCUGCCGAAUGCAGGCACCCGUGCCAACCAAUCUUUCUAGGAAAAAUGGGUGUCAAAUAAUUCACAACACCAGCCAGGCGUCAAUUCUUAUGGCCCCUAUCUUUGCGAUGUAGCCCCGAGAUUUGAUUUUAUUCUCUUGUCAAAUUUCAGGCUGCUCAAUAGCUCAUGAGACUUGUUACAAACACAACCAGGAAAAGGAUUUGCAUAGAAGUUCUCUUCCAGCCUCGGUGACUCUCCCGCUUGCCUAAGAUAAGGAGAUCCAAUCCUGUUUGAAUGUAAACUCUUUACCUUUGCAGAGAAUUCUUCCCAAGAUAUUGAACCCUCAUCCAACUGAUCAAUCAGCGUAACAAAAUUUUGUCUGUCUGG